This 241-nucleotide ribosomal RNA is filed under the name uncultured bacterium. RNAcentral's name for it is "partial 16S ribosomal RNA". It matches the Rfam family "Bacterial small subunit ribosomal RNA", at positions 86 to 334 of the family's 1533-position model. The record is from RNAcentral.
CGGAUUCGAGUGGCGAACGGGUGAGUAACACGUAGGUUACGUACCUCUAGGUGGGGAACAACCAAGGGAAACUUUGGCUAAUACCCCAUGUGCACUUCGGUGUGAAAGACUUCGGUCGCCUGGAGAUCGGCCUGCGGCCCAUUAUUUAAUCCUUGUUGGUGAGGUAAAAGCUCACCAAGGGUACGAUGGGUAGCUGGUCUGAGAGGAUGAUCAGCCACACUGGGACUGAGACACGGCCCAG